AGUGAACGCUGGCGGUAGGCCUAACACAUGCAAGUCGAACGGCAGCACAGUAAGAGCUUGCUCUUACGGGUGGCGAGUGGCGGACGGGUGAGGAAUACAUCGGAAUCUACUUUUUCGUGGGGGAUAACGUAGGGAAACUUACGCUAAUACCGCAUACGACCUACGGGUGAAAGCAGGGGAUCUUCGGACCUUGCGCGAUUGAAUGAGCCGAUGUCGGAUUAGCUAGUUGGCGGGGUAAAGGCCCACCAAGGCGACGAUCCGUAGCUGGUCUGAGAGGAUGGUCACCGCCACUGGAGCAGAGACACGGGCCAGAGUCCUGCGGGAGGGGCCAGAGGGGGAAAUUGGGCAAUAGGGGCGAACCUGGUCCAGCCCUACCGCGUGGGUGAAAAAAACGCUCGGGGUGUGAAGCCCUUUUUUGGGGGGAAAAAAGCAGCAGGGUGUUACCCCGCGGUUCUGACGGUACCCAAAAAAUAAGCACCGGCUAACUUCGUG
RNAcentral lists this ribosomal RNA (492 nucleotides) under uncultured bacterium. RNAcentral's name for it is "partial 16S ribosomal RNA". It matches the Rfam family "Bacterial small subunit ribosomal RNA", at positions 29 to 507 of the family's 1533-position model. The record is from RNAcentral.